CCCCUAGAUGUUCUGGGCCGCACGCGCGCUACACUGAACAGUUCAACAAGUCUUAACCUUGGCCGAUAGGUCUGGGUAAUCUUUGAACGCUGUUCGUGAUUGGGAUAGACCUUUGCAAUUAUGGGUCUUCAACGAGGAAUUCCUAAUAAACGCAAGUCAUCAGCUUGCAUUGAUUACGUCCCUGCCCUUUGUACACACCGCCCGUCGCACCUACCGAUUGAAUGGUCCGGUGAAAUCUCGGGACGGCGGCUUGGUCGCUUGCGUCCGACUGCUGAAACUUGAUUAAACCAUAUCAUUUAGAGGAAGGUGAAGUCGUAACA
RNAcentral lists this ribosomal RNA (320 nucleotides) under uncultured eukaryote. Its description in RNAcentral is "partial 18S ribosomal RNA". It matches the Rfam family "Eukaryotic small subunit ribosomal RNA", at positions 1470 to 1796 of the family's 1831-position model. The record is from RNAcentral.